RNAcentral lists this transfer RNA (79 nucleotides) under Mycolicibacterium fortuitum. RNAcentral's name for it is "tRNA-Gln(ctg)". It matches the Rfam family "tRNA". From Rfam's summary of the family: Transfer RNA (tRNA) molecules are approximately 80 nucleotides in length. Their secondary structure includes four short double-helical elements and three loops (D, anti-codon, and T loops). RNAcentral also lists the same sequence under 1 other name. Lineage: Bacteria; Bacillati; Actinomycetota; Actinomycetes; Mycobacteriales; Mycobacteriaceae. The record is from RNAcentral.
UUGCCCGCUAGCACAACUGGUAGCUGCGUCUGGUUCUGAACCAGAAGGUUUCAGGGUCGAAUCCUGGGCGGGCAGCCCA